AUUGAACGCUGGCGGCAGGCCUAACACAUGCAAGUCGAACGAGGGGCGGACGGGUGUGAAAUGUCUGGGAAACUGCCUGAUGGAGGGGGAUAACUACUGGAAACGGUAGCUAAUACCGCAUACCAUCGGAUGUGCCCAGAUGGGAUUAGCUAGGAGGUGGGGGAAAGGCUCACCUAGGCGACGCUCCCUAGCUGGGCUGAGAGGAUGACAAGCCACACUGGAACGGAGACACGGUCCAGAGUCCGACGGGAGGCAGCAGGGGGGAAUAUUGCACAAUGGGCGCAAGCCUGAUGCAGCCAUGCCGCGUGUAUGAAGAAGGCCUUAGGGUUGUAAAGUACUUGCAGCGGGGAGGCGUUACCCGCAGAAGAAGCACCGGCUAACUCCGGGCCAGCAGCCGCGGUAAUAC
Molecule: ribosomal RNA, 406 nt
Filed under: uncultured bacterium
Lineage: Bacteria
Description: partial 16S ribosomal RNA
Rfam family: Bacterial small subunit ribosomal RNA
Source: RNAcentral